Molecule: transfer RNA, 70 nt
Filed under: Terriglobia bacterium
Lineage: Bacteria; Pseudomonadati; Acidobacteriota; Terriglobia
Description: tRNA-Ser
Source: RNAcentral
UCCCCGGUCGUCUAACGGCAGGAGCCUUUUAGAGCCAGGAAUCGUGGUUCGAAUCCUCGCCGGGGAGCCA